AGAGUUUGAUCCUGGCUCAGAACGAACGCUGGCGGCGUGCCUAACACAUGCAAGUCGCACGCAGUUAAGGGGGCAACUCCUUGAUUGAGUGGCGCACGGGUGAGUAACACGUAGGUAACCUACCCUUCACUGGGGAAUAACCUGUCGAAAGACGGGCUAAUUCCGCAUACGUCCAAGACUGCUCCGGCAGAUUUGGGGAAAGGCGGCCCGCAAGGGCUGUCGGUGAUGGAUGGGCCUGCGUACCAUUAGCUAGUUGGUAGGGUAAUGGCCUACCAAGGCGACGAUGGUUAGCUGGUCUGAGAGGAUGAUCAGCCACACUGGAACUGACACACGGUCCAGACUCCUACGGGAGGCAGCAGUGGGGAAUAUUGCGCAAUGGGCGAAAGCCUGACGCAGCAACGCCGCGUGAGGGAUGAAGGUUCUCGGAUUGUAAACCUCUGUCGGGGGGGACAAAACCUAUGCUGGCUAAUAUCCAGCAUAAUUGAUGGUACCCCCAAAGGAAGCACCGGCUAACUCCGUGCCAGCAGCCGCGGUAAUACGGAGGGUGCAAGCGUUGUUCGGAAUUAUUGGGCGUAAAGCGCACGUAGGUGGCUUUAGAAGUCCGGUGUGAAAUCCUCGGCUUAACCGAGGAAGUGCGCCGGAAACCAUAAAGCUAGAGUAUCGGA
Molecule: ribosomal RNA, 665 nt
Filed under: uncultured bacterium
Lineage: Bacteria
Description: bacterial SSU rRNA
Rfam family: Bacterial small subunit ribosomal RNA
Source: RNAcentral